GUGGGGAAUAUUGGACAAUGGGCGAAAGCCUGAUCCAGCCAUGCCGCGUGUGUGAAGAAGGUCUUCGGAUUGUAAAGCACUUUAAGUUGGGAGGAAGGGUAGUAACCUAAUACGUUGCUACUUUGACGUUACCGACAGAAUAAGCACCGGCUAACUUCGUGCCAGCAGCCGCGGUAAUACGAAGGGUGCAAGCGUUAAUCGGAAUUACUGGGCGUAAAGUGCGCGUAGGUGGUUUUGUAAGUUGGAGGUGAAAUCACCGGGCUCAACCUGGGAACUGCCUCAAAAACUGCAUGACUAGAGUACGUUAGAGGGUAGUGGAAUUUCCUGUGUAGCGGUGAAAUGCGUAGAUAUAGGAAGGAACACCAGUGGCGAAGGCGACUACCUGGACUGAUACUGACACUGAGGUGCGAAAGCGUGGGGAGCAAACAGGAUUAGAAACCCGGGUAGUCC
This 450-nucleotide ribosomal RNA is filed under the name uncultured bacterium. Its description in RNAcentral is "partial 16S ribosomal RNA". It matches the Rfam family "Bacterial small subunit ribosomal RNA", at positions 354 to 796 of the family's 1533-position model. The record is from RNAcentral.